AAAGAAGCUACUAGUAACGAGUGAACCGCCAAAUUGUGCCCUAAAAUCAUGAGUGUCGUAUAAUUUAGGACUUCAAUUUAUGAAAUAGUAAAUUUCCAUUUCAAAUUGAAUCAUGUCAGUCAAAAUAUUAGCUUUGUCACAUACCUCACCUCGGUUAGAUGUGCUGACGUGUUAUCAAAAUAUUAGCUUUGUCAUGUACUUCGGUUAGAUGUGCUGACGUGUCAUGUUAAAUGAUAUUGAAUUGACAUGUUAUAUGUAAAAAAACGUCAAUAUCAAUGUUUCAUGUUAACGGAACAAUUUAAUAUCAUCAAACAUGACACACGUCAGCACCAUUUUUUUCAUUUUGGUCUCAUCUCCAAUAGCUCUCCCGUCUCCCAAGUUUAAUCUUCUUUUUUUUUUUUUUUGAAGGAUCCUAAGUUUAAUCUUCUAAUUUGUUGUAUUUAAUAAUGAGAUGGUCUUCUUAUUUUUUGUCAUUCAUUUUCACUAAGAUUUUGAAUGUUUUUCCCGACUCUAUUUUAUUUGUGGUUACUGUGAUAAAUUUAGAUUCAAAUCUCCAGAUUCUCUACAUUGACAUAAACAAUAAUCUGGGUAAACUAUUUUAAAGCAUGUGUUUGAAGUUUAGUGUUUCAAUAAUAAUUUAUGGUGUUUGUUGCCAUUUGAUUUUUCUCAUCAUGCAUAUGGCGUUUGAUCCAGUCGACACUUAUGAUUAAUGUCAUAUUAUUUAUUUAAAAUUAAAUUAAACUGUCAUAUUAUUUAUUUAAAAUUAAAUUAAACAAUUUCGUUGCCUAAGCCCUAAUGUCAUGCUUUGGCCGCUUGACUCUUGGACAAGUUCCGGAGUGAAGAGCCAUGUUUAUAAUGCUUUUGGUUCACUAGUUGAAGGGUUGCACCAUAUGGUUUGAUGAGUAGAGAUUUAUAGAAAGUAAAUAUUUGGGUUUUGUGAUUUAUUGAUUAAUUUGGAGAUUUUUAAGAUUUAGCAAUUUUAUUUUGAGAAAGAAGAUAAACUGGGACGCAUGAUAUGGUUGUUCAGUCACAUUAUCAUUUUAACGUGAUACAUCAAUAUCCUUAAUAUAACUAUUUGACAGAGGUAACAUGUCGACUGAUAUCUCUUAAAAAAAAAAACAUGUUGACUGAUGUUUGACUUAUGUCUGGCAUAGGAAUAUACCGACGAAGGUUUCUCUGUUUGUUUGGCGUUUACUCCGUAAUAGGAUUCCGACACGCGACAACUUGGUGAGACGUAAUAUCAUUCAGCAAAGGUAUUCAUUGUGCCCAGACGGUUGUGACAUCAUGUAAUCAGCUAGACAUCUCUUUCUUGAAUGCAGCCCAGCAAACUAUUUAUGGUCACAGGUUCGUAAUUGGUUAUGCAUAUCUAUGGUGUUACCUAAUGACCUCCGUGAUCAUCUUCUUCAGUUCUCUUAUUUGGCUGGCCUAUCCCGUUGUACUCAAUCUUUUCUGAAAGGUAUUUGGUUUGCUUGUGUUUGGAUUAUAUGAAAGGAUCGAAAUGAUCGCCUAUUUAAUAAUGCGGAUUCAAAUCCUUAUGCUCUUUUUGAGAAAGUUAAGUUACAUUCGUUUUUGUGGGUAAAGGCAAAACACCCUCAUUUCUGUUAUUGUUAUUAUGAUUGGUGGACACAUCCGUUGCUAUGUAUGGGUGUUCAUCAUUAAUUAUGAUGACUCUGUAAACUUAGAUCGGUGAUUCACUUUUAGCACGCGUUGUGCAGGGUGCACCACCGUUGUUAUUA
RNAcentral lists this long non-coding RNA (1736 nucleotides) under Medicago truncatula (barrel medic). Its description in RNAcentral is "long non-coding RNA (MTRU_LNC001003)". The record is from RNAcentral. Lineage: Eukaryota; Viridiplantae; Streptophyta; Magnoliopsida; Fabales; Fabaceae.